Long non-coding RNA from Gossypium arboreum, 955 nucleotides. RefSeq lists it as uncharacterized. The record is from RefSeq and is a predicted model, not a curated record. NCBI's taxonomy places the organism in Eukaryota, Viridiplantae, Streptophyta, Magnoliopsida, Malvales, Malvaceae. The transcript has 4 exons.
GUUUUUUUAAUAUUUUUCUUUUUUAAGAAAAACAAAAAUAACACUCUUUCCUCAUCAGCCAAGAAAAACCAGCAGCUAGCUAAAGAAAGCCUUGAUCUUCAAGAAGAAACCAGGAAAGCAAGGCCUCAAAGCAAACUCCAAAUCGACGCAUCAUGUAGUACACAAAUCCGGCUCAAUCCCCGCAGCGACGCCAACUACUAUUCAGUUCGGUGGGUCAACCCAUCAGCGGUCGGCGACGAUUUGCUGUCUCACUGAAGCAGGUACUUCCUCAACCCAGAACCUGUCAAUGUUGAAAAUAGCUCCUUCUUUAGCCAUUAGAUGAGCUGCCUGGUUAGCUUCCCUUGCGUUGAAUUUGAAUUGCCCCGAUCUUCUUAAUCAAUGUCAAGGAGUCGCCUUCAAGUUAUGUGAAAGUGAAACCCAUCGCUACAGCAAACUCCAAAGCUUGGACCGCUGCCAGAGCUUGAGCCACGAAUGGAUCAGGAACAAUUUCUGAUUCUGCCAAUGAAUAAAUUUCUCGUGUAUGAGCUUUGACCCAGGCCAAGAAAUCCCGAAGUGAGAUCAAAUGUUCAAAGCAAAAGGACAAGCAAGCAAAAGAUGAGUAGUCGAUUCUUGAAAAGAAGCACAUUUAUGGCAAUUUGCAUUAGUUGAGAUUCUCUUAAUCUGUAAAUUGUGGAAAGUUGGCACAUAAUUAUUAGCAAACCUCCAUAGUGUAAUUUUAAUUUUGGGAGGGACUUUAAGUUGCCAAAGUUGUCUGUAGAAAGUAGAAACCAUAGGCAAGUGCAUGCUAAGAUUAGAAUUGCUAUCAUUAGUUAGGCCAGAUAAGAGGAGUUGAUAGCCACUUUUCACAGAAUAGUCCUCUGAAUUGUCAUCACAAUAAGACUGAGCUAAUGGUAUACGGAGAAUUCUACGAGGCUCGUCCAUAUCGAAAAUGGUAUUAAUUAAAUCGUCGUUCCAA